Gallus gallus (chicken) is the source of this 4199-nucleotide long non-coding RNA. RefSeq lists it as uncharacterized. The record is from RefSeq and is a predicted model, not a curated record. NCBI's taxonomy places the organism in Eukaryota, Metazoa, Chordata, Aves, Galliformes, Phasianidae. The transcript has 3 exons.
GCGGGUGGCCGCGGCGCUGCGCCGUGAGGUGCGGCCGUGGGGAGCUGCGCUCCCUCGGAGGCCUGAGGUGAGAGGGAAGGCCCGGCGCGCGACUGCAGACCGCGCCGUGCAGGAGCGAGGUGGAGCCGCGGCCGUAGCGUUAAAAGGUUGAGGCGUCUGAGUUUUACCGAGCGUCACAGCAGCUGAGAGGGAAACGGCACUCUGCUCGGAAAAGGUGACGGGAUCCCGGCCUGAGCGUGAAAAGGUGCAGCUCAGAAAAUGAGGCGUUCCUCCCGUUAGCACGGGGCGAGUCUGCGCGUACGCGGGGCUGUGGUUGGCAGCUCCGGUUCUAUUCUGCGCUUUUUAGCGGAGAUCAAGGGCUGAGCUGCCGCGUGUAGAACAGCCCGAGGCUGAGGUGUGUAUUUGUUUGCUGGCUGCCGGCUCUGGUGCCGCGGAGCUCGCCAGGAGGCUGCGGCUGGCUGAGGCCUCCAAGCCCGAUUUGGUUCCUGGCUCUCACGAGAUUUGGUGCCUUCAUUCAACAGAACAUGCACGUACAUGAAGGAGUUUUAAAAUUUCAUACCGUUUUAAACACUCUGCUAUACUUCAUUGCAGACUUGGACAUUUCAAACGUGGCUUGUUUGAAUUAGGUGGGUUGGAAGGGAGAUUAAUUGUUUUGCCUUUUAAACUAGGGUGCAUAACUUGCACGUCCCUCUAAAUUAGAGUUACUUAAUCAGAUUUUAACCAAAUUCAGAAACAAACUAAAACCAGCAAUGACCUGGAAGCAACAAUGUGCUGCAUGAAUGUCUCAUUAAAACCUGUGGUUGACUCCAGAUUCAAUUCUGUCAGCCUCUGAAUAAAACAGUUCAGAUGUGAGUCUGCUGUUAGAACUGGCAGUGCAAGCAACUACUAAUAUGUACGCACCAUGAUGUGUGCCAUUUAAUAAAUCAGGAUUACAAAGCAAGGUGAAAUUAAAUAGAAGUAAUCUAUUUCUAAACUUUCCCUUUUCUAGCAGUAAUAUCUGGCACAGGGGCUAUGAUAUUAAUCAUAUUAAUAGAGAAAUGAUACUCUAAACUCAGGGCAAAUUAUUACAUAUGACCAAACAGCUGUUGUCAUUAAUGAAGGUGGCAGAACAAGUAUCAGUGAUAUGUGUUACAGGGAGGCAGGAAGACACACACCUUAAAAACCCUCUGCAGUUCCUUUAGUUCAAGGAACUUUUUCCCCAAAAAGACACUUUUCCCACAGUCAGAAAUUUGUAGUUACUAAUGAGCUACAUUUGCAAACUGAUUCUUAUUGUUUGAGUUUCAGCACAAACCAAGGGUUCAACUGAACCCGUGGCUGUCUGUCUUUUGCAUUCAGUUUUAAGGACAAAUCAAGGAGGCUUCACCAGGCCAUCACAAUGGCCAUGCCUACAUCAUUCAUCAAAAUGACUAAAUGUUUGGUUUUUCCCCAUUAAAAUCCAUAUUGUUUAAUGUUUUGUGAGUAAGAAGUUAGUCUAGAGAGUUCUAGGAAAACUAAGAAUUAAACAACAAAAAGAUAUGCACCUAUAUAUUCAUUGGUGUACACAAAAUCAAAAGUAAUGGGGGAAACCAAUGCAUUUAAAUUCUAGUGAAGAAUUUUGAGUGAGAUUGAUACUGAAGAUGAGCUGUCAGAUAAUUACGCCAAAGAAAUUAGGUUAUGUCUUUUUUUCCCCCUUUGAAUACAGUGAAAAAUAAGAAUAUUUGCUGUUUUCAUCUUACUGAAGUUGGUGUCCGUUCACAAAGAAGAUAUUUAUUUUCUGUUUUCCUCAGAACAAGCACAAGCAACCCCCUUGCUAUGGAGAGAUGAAGUUGGCAAAGUUCAGUCUGCCUCUUCACCUUUUUGUUUUAUGUUUAAGUUAGCCAAAUAAUUCAUAGUGCUGCAAAAUCAGAGAAAAAAAGAUUGUGAUUUCAGGUGACAGCAGCAUUUAUCCAUGUUUCUGUCUUGUGUAAAAAAUAGAAAUUAUGUAAUUUGUUCAAAAAUGCUUUACCUAUUUACAGAUAAUACAUUAUAUAUUGAAACAAGCACGUUCUUAUGCAAGAGGUGCAAAAUCUCCAUUGUUGUAUUCAGCUUAGAUUAUUCUAUUUAUUUCAACUUGUGCAAGCACUAAAGCAUCAGUAAUUAAUAUAUUAGAAUGGUACAGAUGUGGUUGAUACUGUGCAGUUACUGAGUUUUACGUGGUAAGCAAUACUGUGUAGUGCUGGAAACCUGAUGAAAGGAAGUAUCAGGAAAAAAGUAUAAAAAUGUUCAUAUUAAGUGCAAUUGAUGCUCAUUUCCUGAAGGUGCUUGGACACUAGCCAAUGCAUGGAAAGGAAGAUGCAUUUAAAGAAUCAAAUAACUUCUUGAAAAUGGUAUCUCCCAUACAAUCUCAGUGGAAAUUGUCCAACGCAUCACAACAGCUCUUGACUUUGAGCACCACCUCUCUUGUCUUGAGCACAAAUAUUUGUUACGCUUCCUUCUCGCUGCAGGGAAGUUCAGUUACAGAACUUGACAUUUGCCUCCAAGAGUAACAAUGAACUCAGUGUUCCUCUACUUGCAACAGAAGUAAGCACAGUGAACGGAGGUGGAGUAAUUUUAACUAGUAGAGUAAAGCUGUUUGAGAGACCUCACUUUCAUUCUAUUGCAGCUCUGUUUUGUUGCAAUAAACUACUAGUUAUGAAAAACAGGCAAAUAAUAGGGUAUCAGUUCUUUAAAAACCAAAUAUUGCUCAAAUGUAAAUAUUUGUGACGUAUGACAAGUAUUCAUUUCAUUGUGGAAUUGAAAGCUGUAUUUUAGGGAAGGAUAGUGUUUAAAGAAACAGAAAUGAUGUAUGCUUUUGGUUCUAUAACAUAUUACAUAAAGGAUUUCUUCUAGAAGUGUAGAUACUGUUCAGUUUUGUUAAUGGGAGAAUGUUCAUUAAAGCACACAAUAAACAUAUCCUGUAAUUAAUGUAAUUAGCACAGAAUUAUCAAAUUAACAUCAAUAAUAUUGUUUUUACGCAUUUCAAAGCCCUGUCAAGUACACACCGUGCUGGCGAAGUCCCGUGUCACUGUUUGGGGUGUAGCUGUAAAAGUCUUAAUGCAGUGUGACACCUCAGUCAUUUGCAUUUUCCAAAAGCUUCCCAGCAGUUCUUUCCUAAGCAUAUCAGAAAGAGAGGUUUCAUUCUCAGUGUUGUAGAAAGCAAGGCCAUAUGUGAGUUUGAUAAUUUCACUGUUGCAAAUGCUAUAACCAGUGCAAGUGGCUGACUGGCUAUAAGUCAGAACUUGCUACUGUUGUUUAUAGGAACACGCUGUCUUGACAUGCCUGUAUUCAGCAGGUCUUCUGAUCUGUUUUUCUGAUAUGUAAGUAUUUGGUAACUACAUCAAGGAAUCACACACAUCCUGGGGAGGAAUUUCACUCAGUAGAAUCCCAUUUGCAGUAGUAGUGUAAAUUUUAGCAAAUAAUUUAAAAAGAGAGUUGGUGUAUAUAUUCAGGUAAUGCUUUUUUUUCGUCAUCCCUGUCUGCAGGCAGUGUGAUGCUCAUUUGUGGCAUCCUUCUCUAGAAAGCACUUGAAGCUUCUAUCUUCUAAACACAAGGAACUGAAGGACUUUGAAUUGUGGCCAAACUUGUGCAGCCUUAGAGACAAGCUUUUAUUCACGAGUUACCUUGCCAACCACAAGUAGCACCUUCUCAGAUGAAGUGUGUCAUACCUUCAUGCCACUUUACAGAAACAAGGAAGUGAGAGAUGGACUAAGGCAGAUACUAUUUGAUCCCCAUCAGGAAUGCAGAAUCAGUGUGCCUCCAUCACCCACCCACAUGUUUUGGACGACAUUCAACCACAGCAGGUUACAGGCCUUUUUCACAGCUCGGAGCUGCAAGCUUAACUUCAGAACUGCUUACCUGCUUUGCGUGUGUCAGUGGAAACAGAGGCAGGCUUAACAUCUCUUAUUAGGUCUAGGGCCGUGAGGUAGCGCUGUUCUUCUGUUGAGCUUCCAUAGAUGAGGAAAUAAACCCUACAGGUUUGGAGGAAAAAAAAGAAAAAGUUGACAGAUAUUUAAGAUUAGAAGCACUAACUGCCUGAAAAAUUUCUAUCUCAUUUUCCGUCUUUUACCAACGUCAUAUACUCUUACUGAAACUUUGGGAUUCAACAAGAGUGGAUUGCCAGAAGUGGGCAAUAGAUUUUAUUGUUCUUUCAAGAUAAAAAUUUAACCAACUGCAUGCUCGAUUAGCACCAAGUCAACUUGCCU